This 253-nucleotide ribosomal RNA is filed under the name uncultured bacterium. RNAcentral describes it as "partial 16S ribosomal RNA". It matches the Rfam family "Bacterial small subunit ribosomal RNA", at positions 524 to 776 of the family's 1533-position model. The record is from RNAcentral.
UACGUAGGGUGCAAGCGUUGUCCGGAAUUAUUGGGCGUAAAGAGCUCGUAGGCGGUUUGUCGCGUCUGCUGUGAAAACUCGGGGCUUAACUCCGGGCCUGCAGUGGGUACGGGCAGACUAGAGUGUGGUAGGGGAGAUUGGAAUUCCUGGUGUAGCGGUGGAAUGCGCAGAUAUCAGGAGGAACACCGAUGGCGAAGGCAGAUCUCUGGGCCGUAACUGACGCUGAGGAGCGAAAGCAUGGGGAGCGAACAGG